RNAcentral lists this transfer RNA (101 nucleotides) under Laccaria bicolor S238N-H82. RNAcentral's name for it is "tRNA-Und (NNN) (tRNA-Und-NNN-2-1)". Lineage: Eukaryota; Fungi; Basidiomycota; Agaricomycetes; Agaricales; Hydnangiaceae. The record is from RNAcentral.
UCUUCGUUGGUGCAACGGUAGCACACGCGUUGCUGAUUAAAUUCUCCAGCUAACGAGUAGAAAUUGGACGCGAUAACUGGGUUCGACUCCCAGACGAAGAG